GAGGAGAUGUGGCUGUGAGACACUGGGCUUGUACAGAAUUUGCCACCAGGCCCUGAUGCCGUUUGCGCAGGUAGAUCUGUGGUUGUGGGCAGAAAAACUUCAAUUAAACAUGCUUCCCACUGGACACAGUGAUGGACCAAAUGCCAGCCAGCCCAAAGAAUCUAAGGAAGACCGUGAAGAACGAAUUCUUGCCUUGCUAGGCAUAAUUGGGACAAUUUUAAACCUACUGGUAAUAAUCUUCGUUUACAUAUAUACUACGAUCUAGACAUUUACGACAAACACAAGGAGAAGACAUUCUGGAAUGGACCUGAAGUUGGAAUAUUCGAUGACUUUGCAUAACUUUUAAACUCUAUCAAACCUAGAGUGUCUAUGAUGCUAAACAGGCUCUGUUCAAAACAUUAACAUUUCCCAUUGUUUAGUGCUUAACAGAAUUAUAAAUAAUGUUAAAACUACUCAUUUACUUGAUCAUUCAUGCUUGUAUCAAGUUUGCAAAGCUAUAGGCAUGCAUGAAUAUUUCACACAAAUUACUUUUCUAAGCCAGAUGUUUACCAAAUCCUUUAUAAAAAGAAAACCAUGAGGUGGUAACUUUUCAAAUGGGCCACAAAGAAACAAAAAUGACUUCUGCUGUGAAACAUUGAAAAUUAUAGUACAUGUUAUUUCAAUCAAAAAUUGUGUAAUGAAAGAUGAAACUUUUGAAGAUAAUGUCACUUUUUAUGCUUUUUAAAACUACACUGCAUCACUGAUGACUGCUUCUUACAUUUUCAUAAAUGAGCAAGUUCCCUGUAAAAACAGAACUACUCAAAAAGCACAAAGGUUUGGUCACUGGAACAUGAUACAGAAGUCAUUAUUUAGAAAAAUGUGUCAACCUUUGCAGUUUGAUGCUGUGGCAUUGCUAAUGAGUAAAAGUGACAAAAGGCCUGAUUUGGGAACUACAGCUACCAAUCUGACUGCUGGUGUACAACCUCCAGAAGCAAUCUGUGGUCACUUGUAAGAUGUAAGGUUAUAAGAGAGUAGAGCUUGGGAAAAGUAAAUGAUCUGUCACGUGGCAGUAUUAACUUGUAUGCUAUGGACAGCAUAUCUGACGAAGGUAGCAGAUGUCUUGUAGUUCUAAUUAUUUCAAACUAAGUGUAUGACACAGAGUCAAAUGCUCAUAUUUUAGAGUUUAUGUUUACAUUUAAUCUGGAAUUGCGAAUGCCUGGACAAGUCAUGGAACCUGGACAGCAGCUGAAGAGACUUCAAGUGGAUUAUGUUUUCUCAUUCUGGAUCCCAUUCUUUUUAAAGUAUAUUUCCCAGGAUUAACAGAUUUACAAUGUCACUGUAACAUAAAAUACAGCAUGUGGUCAGUUAUGAUCUGUUGCCAUUGCACACUCGGUUUUAUUGUUUAUAAAAUGUGAAUAACCAUAUUACAAAGAUCAUUUUAACUUAUAGCUUUCAUUGCUCCACAAUAAUAACUGUAUUAAUAAUAAUAAUAAUAAUAAUAAUAAUAAUACAGGGUUUCCUAUUGAGGUGGAUUCUGUUCAAUAUAUAGUCAGUCCAGAAUUUUUGGACAGAUGUGAUGAUUACAUUACAAUAAGAUAACAUGUUAAUCACAUUAACAUUCUAAAGAUACAUAUACUAUAUUAAAUAUGUUUUCUGUAAAAAUUAUAUUUCUUUGUAUUUUUAUUGGUGUAUUUAUUAUGCAGGUUAUACAUAAGAAGAAUGCAAUGCUUUUGAGCUGUAAUAGCACUAUUUAUCAAUUACCAUUGUGUAGCAAAAAGUAUGGGUGAUAUAUGGACUUAAAUGACUUAACAUUCUUCAGAGAAGUGUUAUUCAUGUUAAAAUGGGAAAGUAAAUGUAUAAGAAAUGAAAAAAAUGCUUUGCCGUGUCUAAAGUAGUUAUACAAAUGAGCUAUGUUCUAUGCAAUGACAGGUUUCUCAGAUCAUUUAAAUUCCAGCCAAAGCAUUCUAUAAAUAACGGGGCCAUUAUUCUAAUGAAAGCUUGCUGUUUUGUUGUGGGAAUGGCUUACUUAGUUCUUUGAUUCUGAACUAGGUACAUUGUUUUCAUCAUUACCAAGUAAAUCCUUUGUGCUCCAGAUUUUUUAUAUAAAAUAUGAAAAGUUCCCAAAGAUUGUGCGCCCUCUGUGUAUAGAAUUUUGUAUGACAAACUAUAAUAACAUUCCAUAAUUCAGUGUCACUAAGGACACAUGGAACUGUCAGACUGCCAGAGUACAGAUAAGGCACAAGUGAUAGAUUGCUAGCAUGCUCUAAAGGCACAAUCUUAUUAAAAUGUUACAGAAGUGAAUAAACCUGUGCAGAGCUGAAUAAGAGUCAGCGAUCAAAUCAUUCCGUUGUCAUAUGUAUCACACAUGUAAAUGGCUUAACUAUGACACUCAUGCAAGUGCAUACAAAUAAAUGUCUUGAAAACAAUUGUUCUUACAGGUUUGUAGAACUCUACAGAACAUGUUGAUUAUUCAGAACAUAAACAGCCUCAUUUGAUAAAAGUAUGUAUUAUAAAACACUGCAUUGCUUCUGUGUCCUGCAUGUACUACUAUGAACUGCUUCAUAUGCACCAGCCUUAGUAUAUGCAAAACCAUUAAAUUGUGAUCAGCCCUGCAUGGAGCUGAAAGGAAAGUUAUCACCAUUUAUUUUCAUUUACUAUCACACAGUCAGCAGAUCCAGCAGUCUUCCAUUAUAAAUGCAUAUCUACUGUAUGAGAAAUAUUCUAUUUAACAUUUUUGUAUGUUUCUUUAUUCUGCCUUGCUUUUGUACUCUGCAAAUGUAAUGUUAUAAAAGCUUCUUAUAGUGAUGGUGCUUCUUUCAGUCAAUUAUUCUUCUUUGCAGUUCUAAACCCUGAAUUUCAUGCAGUUUAUACAAAUGGGCACAGAAUAUUGUACUGUGUCACUGGCAUUGUCAGUGCUAAAUGUGUUGCAUGUGGUUAAGUAAGCGAGACAUUACAACAUGCAAGACAUUACAACAUGCAGAACACAUCUGAGUCUCUUUUAUCAGUGUCCAGUUGUUAAGAGCAAGUGGUCCCAUUCUGAUAUGUUCAUGAUUAUUCACAUUAGCUCCUUUACUUGUUAAUAAUCUUGAACUAUACCCUGUUACUAUUUAUAUGAUUUUCAUAUUUAAAAUGUCACCUAAAUAAAUAACUUACAUUUCUGCUAAAUGUUCCUGACUGUUGUUGUAUACCACAUCAGUAUUAAACAUCACAAGGCAGAUUACUCCUCCAAAGAAUAUGUAUUUCAUGACAUAAUUUACAGACAUCUACUAGUUGACAAAUAUCAGAAGUGUCCCAGUUGGCUCUCCUUACUUGCAUUUAUUUUAAACCAAAAUGUUUUAUAUUACUUACAGGUCAGUUCUUGCUCAAUCUUUACAAUGAGUAUCAUAGAAUAAACACAUCACAUUUUAUUGUUUUAAAAUAAAUGCAAUAUUUAAUCAAGGAGCACUUGUUCAUUUUUGUAAGUUUCACAAGACACUCCUGUUUUACUGUAUAGAAACCAAUAUGUCUGUAGCUGAAAGAAGAAUAAUCUUGUCUGCUUGAAAAUGUUGAUGAGAUAAUUUCUGAAAUAGAUUGGCCUGAAUUUGUACAGUUCAUUUCACAGCUGAGCAGAUAGCACUGUGAGAAGUAUACAAUUGUUUACUGUGCACAAAAACUACUAAUGAAGUAAAAAUUAAUUAUAAGUUCUGAAAUGUCAUUGCUACUGAUAUAUCUAAAACUGUCAUGGAAUGUUCUUUCACUUUCAUUGAAGAACAUAAAAAACAUACUGAAGAAAAACAUGUAUGCUCCAAAAAGCUUGCUGUUGACAUGACAACCAAGUAAAUUUUGAGAGGUCAAUUGAUAAUGAAAAGUGUAACUAAAUUUUUGAAAUAAAUUAUCAGAAUGUCACAUUCUUAUUUUCAUAACUAAAACUGAAGCCAUAUCAGAUAAAGUGUAAUCAGAGAAUCAGUUCUUAAUAGAUGUCAUUGUACAAAUUUGCAUAAUUUUAGAUAGUUACCAUACUCCAGAUUUGUAUAGCACAUUUUUCAUCCAAUUGAUUAUGCUGAAGAAUUUUGUCUAAUGCCUGAAAUAAUUCAAAUAAUUCAAGAAACAUAGAUUUCAUUAAAAUUUGAACCAAAGGUCUUCAGUAAAUUAUCUCACUAUAUAAUGAUACAACUAAAUUCAUGAGAAGUAUGCAGUGGAACCAGAUGUUUUAUUAACAGCAGAAAUUAGUACAAAUGUCUAAACCUGGACAUAACUAAGAUAUUUUUUAUGAAUUUAAUGAUGAGUAACUUCCAGUGCAGAAAGGUAAUGCACAUGGAAGGAUAUUAUGUAAAUGAAAAAAAUAUUAUCAAUUGGUAAUAAACGAUAUAUGUAAAAUGUA
Long non-coding RNA from Protopterus annectens (West African lungfish), 4339 nucleotides. RefSeq lists it as uncharacterized. The record is from RefSeq and is a predicted model, not a curated record. The transcript is spliced from 2 exons. Lineage: Eukaryota; Metazoa; Chordata; Ceratodontiformes; Protopteridae.